UGAAAUAGAUAUAGUGUACAACGUGUUAAUCUUCAGCUUGUAAGUCAGUAAUCAAUAGCGAGACUUUCUCCCAUCUUUUGAUAGUUGUAUUUUCCAAACUUGACAUGUGCUAUUUCCUUUUCCACUCGUCGAUUUCCAUAUGGUACAUAUCCAUCUCGCCGAUUCACUCGGGGAUCUUAGGAUUGCACUCAUCACAGCCGAAACAGGGGUUCCCUUGCGGUAGGAAAUCAGCCAGAGCUUUCUAUCGCUCGCGGUCAAAUCGUAAUAGAUGAUUAUGUCGCUCGCGGAAAUUGAACGAUAUGUCGCUCACAGAAGGAGCUCACUCUCGGUCGCGGACGGUGCUCGCUCGCUCGCAGUCAAAGACAUGGAGCCGCGGUCACUCAGGCGCUCGCUCGCGGUCAGACUUUCCCUCGCUCGCGGACCCUCCGGCGCUCGCUCGUGGUCAGAGUCCUUCACUUCGCUCGCUGUCAGAAAUGUUUGCUUGAUCGCUCAAGGCGAACGAACUUCACCUCGCUCACUAGGGUUUGCCUGCAAGAUUAAUCACAUGUUGUUGUAUUUCAAAAAUCUUAUUAAUUAUAUUCGAAAAAUUUCGAAUCUUUUUUUACAACAAACGGUACAUUUCUACAAGUAAAAAGACUUACAUUUGGAUGAUAUACCAAAAUCACAUAAUAUAUCACAGGUUAAAUCGUAAUAAAAAUUAUGUACACAACACAUCGAGUCUAAAACUCUGCGACGACGUUAAUAGUUAUUGUGAUCAAUUAAACUAAUAUGUUUGCGUAAAAAUACUCGAAUCUUGAGAUCUUUAUUAUGAUGUCACGCUACAAAAAAUGACAUUGUAUGACGGAUUUCCGUCACCAUAUAAUUUUCAGUUUUAGAUUUAGUGGCAGAUUUUUUUCAUGUAUUAUUUUUUUAGUGGAAAAUGAGGUGAAAUAAUAGAUGACGGAUUAUCAAUCGAAAAUCCAUCGCUGGUCACUUGUAAUGACUUAUUUCCACCAUCAAAAAUCCGUCAUACAAUGACUUAUUUUUUGUAGUGUCACAUGGAUUAAAUAGUUUGUUUUAUAUUGGGUUUUGACCUAAAUGGGCCAGGUGAUCCAAUCACCAAUUUUGGGCCAUUAUCACUCCUAUUAUGAAGCACAUAUAAUUAUUAGGUUUGCUAUAUCUUCACUCCAAUCUAAUGUAUCAUCAUCACUAUUCACUCCCCCCAUAUAAAUAGGGACGCUUAGGGUGUCAAACGAGCUGAGCUUAGCUUAUAGAGCCAGACUCGGGCUCGGCUUGUUAAGGAGUUAUCCAGGCUCGAGCUCGACGAGCCUGGUUUUGCCGAAUUCGAGCUCGACUCGUUUUAAGAAUUGUCAAGCUCGGGAUAGAAACUCGAGCCCACGAGUCUGGAAAGAGUUAAAUAAGCUUAGUGAGACAACUCUGAAUUUUUCUACUGCUUACCACCCUCAGAGUGAUGGCCAAACUGAGGUUGUUAAUAUAAGUAUCGAGAUGUAUUUAAGAUCUCUAGCCCACGAAGAUCCAAAAAAAUGGCUUUCUCUACUUCCUUGGGCAGAGUUUUGGUUCAAUACCAAUUACAACUCCUCUAUCGGGCAAACACCAUUCCAAAUAUUAUAUGGAAAGGAAGCUCCUAUUUUACCAAACUAUAUUGAAGGUAGUUCUUUUAUUGAUGCUGUGGACAGAGAAUUGAAUGAUAGGGAGUAUGCUUUGGAGACAAUGAAAAACAAUUUAAUCAAAGCCCAAAAACGGAUGAAGACAAAUGCUGAUAAACAUAGACAAGAAAUACAGUUUAAUGUGGAUGAUUGGGUAUUGGUCAAGCUAAAGCGCUACAAACAAUCAUCAGUAGCAGUUCGACUUCAUAACAAAUUAAAUAAGAAAUACUUUGGUCCCUACAAAAUCAAAGAAAAAAUCAGCAGGGUUGCUUACAGAUUAUCUCUGCCUCCGGGAAGUCGAAUCCAUAACACAUUUCAUAUAUUCUUGCUGAAGAAAUUUAUUGGCAGCCCACCUGAAAAUAAAGAUAUGACACCUUUAAUAGCGGUAAAAAAUAACCCUGUUUUGAUUCCUCUAGCUACUAUAGAUUAUAGGAUUGUCUACCGGAAGGGAGGGCGAUUUCAUCAAGCUCUGGUCCAGUGGGACGGAGAACCAGUUGAAGAUUCCUCAUGGGAAGAUGUUGCAGCUCUGCACAAGUCUUUUCCCUCAAUACACCUUGAGGACAAGGUGGUUCUCCGAGAGGGAUACUAUGAUACGAAGCGGGUAAACAUGGCUGGGAUAAUAGAAGAUCUGAAGAAGAACCACGAGCUCAGUGAAGAGGUCGUCGGAGAAGAAAAAAUUGAAGAAAAAGAAAGCGAACAGAGAAAAGGAAAAUUAAAUCAGAGCCGUCAGGUGAGGGAGAGCCGUUCCAAGAGGGCU
RNAcentral lists this long non-coding RNA (2403 nucleotides) under Zostera marina. RNAcentral describes it as "long non-coding RNA (ZMAR_LNC001642)". The record is from RNAcentral. Lineage: Eukaryota; Viridiplantae; Streptophyta; Magnoliopsida; Alismatales; Zosteraceae.